This 1374-nucleotide ribosomal RNA is filed under the name uncultured bacterium. RNAcentral describes it as "bacterial SSU rRNA". It matches the Rfam family "Bacterial small subunit ribosomal RNA". The record is from RNAcentral.
GCGUGCCUAACACAUGCAAGUCGAACGUCCUUUCGUCUUUCGGGACGAGAGGGAGUGGCGGACGGGUGAGUAACACGUGGAUGAUCUGCCUUGAGGUGAGGAAUACCACCGAGAAAUCGGUGACAAGACCGCAUAUGCUUGGGCAACCAAGCAAAGUCACUUUCGGGUGACGCCUCAAGAUGAGUCCGCGGCUGAUUAGCCAGUUGGUGGGGUAAUGGCCUACCAAAGCAACGAUCAGUAGCUGGUCUGAGAGGACGAGCAGCCACACUGGGAUUGAGAACGGCCCAGACUCCUACGGGGGGCAGCAGUGAGGAAUUUUCGGCAAUGGACGCAAGUCUGACCGAGCAACGCCGCGUGCAGGACGACACUUUUCGGAGCGUAAACUGCUUUUCUCUGUGACGAGUUUGGACGGUAGCAGAGGAACAAGCCCCGGCUAACUACGUGCCAGCAGCCGCGGUAAUACGUAGGGGGCAAGCGUUGUCCGGAUUUAUUGGGCGUAAAGCGUCCGCAGGCGGUUGGUUGCGUUGGCGGUGACAGCGGCUCCCUUCAUGAGUCGAGUGCCGCCAAAACGAGCCAACUUGAGGCCGUGCGAGGGAGAGGGAACUCCGGGUGGAGUGGUGAAAUGCGUAGAUAUCCGGGAAGAACACCAAUGGCGAAGGCACUCUCCUAGCACGGAACUGACGCUGAGGGACGAAAGCCAGGGGAGCGAACGGGAUUAGAUACCCCGGUAGUCCUGGCCGUAAACGAUGACCACUAGGCGUGGGGGGUAUCGACCCCUUCCGUGCCGUAACUAACGCGAGAAGUGGUCCGCCUGGGGAGUACGGUCGCAAGAUUAAAACUCAAAGGAAUUGACGGGGACCCGCACAAGCAGCGGAGCGUGUGGUUUAAUUCGAUGCAACGCGAAGAACCUUACCAGGGUUUGACAUGGAGUCGCACCGCCUUGAAAGAGGCGUACCCGCAAGGGACGGCUUCACAGGUGCUGCAUGGCUGUCGUCAGCUCGUGUCGUGAGAUGUUGGGUUAAGUUCCCGCAACAAGCGCAACCCUCAUCGUCGGUUAUCGGUGUCCGGCGAGACUGCCACUCACAAAGUGGAGGAAGGCGGGGAUGACGUCAAGUCAGUCACGGSCCGUGCAMAUAUCCUGGGCGACACACACGCUACAAUGGACAGGACAAGGAGUUGCCAACCCGCGAGGGGGAGCUAAUCUUGCCAAACCUGUUCUCAGUUCGGAUUGGAGGCUGCAACCCGCCUCCAUGAAGUCGGAGUUGCUAGUAACCGUGAGUCAGCACAUCACGGUGAAUACGUUCCCGGGUCUUGUACACACCGCCCGUCACACCACGAAAGUCGGCAACCCCUGAAGCCGCCGGGCUAACCCGC